CGGCCCCCCUCAGGUGAUGCUAGCAUACUUAAAGUACCAAUGGUCACUUGGUGAGGAUCAUAAGCGAAAGGAAGCCUUUGCUAGGUUGCAGGACCUUGCUAUGGACCUCUCGAGAACAGCUACUCUGCAACCAGUAAUGCAGAAUGCAUUAGUUGCUUCUUCUGGUGCGCCACUUGUUGCUCGUAUAUACCUCAGACUCGGCACUUGGAAGUGGG
RNAcentral lists this unclassified non-coding RNA (215 nucleotides) under Hevea brasiliensis (rubber tree). Lineage: Eukaryota; Viridiplantae; Streptophyta; Magnoliopsida; Malpighiales; Euphorbiaceae. The record is from RNAcentral.